UCCUCCGCUUAUUGAUAUGCUUAAGUUCAGCGGGUAUUCCUACCUGAUCCGAGGUCAACAUUUCAGAAAGUUGGGUGUUUUACGGCAUUGGACGCGCCGCGCUCCCGAUGCGAGUGUGCAAACUACUGCGCAGGAGAGGCUGCGGCGAGACCGCCACUGUAUUUCGGGGCCGGCCGCCCCCAAAGAGGAGGGAGUGGCCGAUCCCCAACGCCGACCCCCCGGAGGGGUUCGAGGGUUGAAAUGACGCUCGGACAGGCAUGCCCGCCAGAAUACUGGCGGGCGCAAUGUGCGUUCAAAGAU
Molecule: unclassified non-coding RNA, 300 nt
Filed under: uncultured fungus
Lineage: Eukaryota; Fungi
Description: sequence contains 5.8S rRNA gene, ITS2
Source: RNAcentral